RNAcentral lists this ribosomal RNA (254 nucleotides) under uncultured bacterium. RNAcentral's name for it is "partial 16S ribosomal RNA". It matches the Rfam family "Bacterial small subunit ribosomal RNA", at positions 524 to 776 of the family's 1533-position model. The record is from RNAcentral.
UACGUAGGGUGCGAGCGUUGUCCGGAAUUAUUGGGCGUAAAGAGCUCGUAGGCGGUGUGUCGCGUCGGCCGUGAAAACCUGGGGCUCAACUCUGGGCGUGCGGUCGAUACGGGCAUCACUUGAGUUCGGCAGGGGAGACUGGAAUUCCUGGUGUAGCGGUGAAAUGCGCAGAUAUCAGGAGGAACACCGGUGGCGAAGGCGGGUCUCUGGGCCGAUACUGACACUGAGGGAUGAAAGCUGGGGGAGCAAAUAGG